RNAcentral lists this ribosomal RNA (165 nucleotides) under Cypripedium arietinum. RNAcentral's name for it is "5.8S ribosomal RNA". The stretch from base 1 to 110 matches the Rfam family "5.8S ribosomal RNA", at positions 47 to 154 of the family's 154-position model. From Rfam's summary of the family: 5.8S ribosomal RNA (5.8S rRNA) is a component of the large subunit of the eukaryotic ribosome. Lineage: Eukaryota; Viridiplantae; Streptophyta; Magnoliopsida; Asparagales; Orchidaceae. The record is from RNAcentral.
AGCGAAAUGCGAUAAGUGGUGUGAAUUGCAGAAUCCCGUGAACCAUCGAGUCUUUGAACGCAAGUUGCGCCCGAGGCCAUCAGGCUAAGGGCACGCCUGCCUGGGCGUCGUGUUCUACGUCUCUCCCACCAAUGCUUGCUCGGCAUAUACAGGUUGGCAUUAUGU